GAAUCAAGAGGCAAUGGUGGAGAACCUUCUGGCAGAGGGGGAAAAUCUGAAGAAGUAUUUGAUGCAAGUUCUGUUGCCAUAUCUGAAGACCGAUGUUGAGCAUCUAUUUCAAAAGAACCAUGUCCAUCCAACGACUUAUCAUCCUUUGGAUGGCCAGAAACAUCUUCCAUUUCAAGUUCUCCAUCCACAUCCUCUAAGAUCCGAUGGCGC
Molecule: unclassified non-coding RNA, 210 nt
Filed under: Hevea brasiliensis (rubber tree)
Lineage: Eukaryota; Viridiplantae; Streptophyta; Magnoliopsida; Malpighiales; Euphorbiaceae
Source: RNAcentral